UUUGACCUCGGAUCAGGUAGGAAUACCCGCUGAACUUAAGCAU
Molecule: ribosomal RNA, 43 nt
Filed under: Diaporthe eres
Lineage: Eukaryota; Fungi; Ascomycota; Sordariomycetes; Diaporthales; Diaporthaceae
Also listed under: 12 other names
Description: partial 28S ribosomal RNA
Source: RNAcentral